This 206-nucleotide ribosomal RNA is filed under the name Escherichia coli. Its description in RNAcentral is "partial 23S ribosomal RNA". It matches the Rfam family "Bacterial large subunit ribosomal RNA", at positions 37 to 243 of the family's 2925-position model. The record is from RNAcentral. Lineage: Bacteria; Pseudomonadati; Pseudomonadota; Gammaproteobacteria; Enterobacterales; Enterobacteriaceae.
CAGUCAGAGGCGAUGAAGGACGUGCUAAUCUGCGAUAAGCGUCGGUAAGGUGAUAUGAACCGUUAUAACCGGCGAUUUCCGAAUGGGGAAACCCAGUGUGAUUCGUCACACUAUCAUUAACUGAAUCCAUAGGUUAAUGAGGCGAACCGGGGGAACUGAAACAUCUAAGUACCCCGAGGAAAAGAAAUCAACCGAGAUUCCCCCAG